Molecule: unclassified non-coding RNA, 984 nt
Filed under: Hevea brasiliensis (rubber tree)
Lineage: Eukaryota; Viridiplantae; Streptophyta; Magnoliopsida; Malpighiales; Euphorbiaceae
Source: RNAcentral
AAUCAGUCGCCUUUGCUUGCUCAAGGACUUGAUGAACUAAACUGCCUCUUCUAUGAUGAAUCAAUCCCUGCCAUCCUACAAUGUGUGAGGAUGAGGAUCAGGGGGGAACAUGGUUACAAGGAAGCGGUGAAUCAUCUCAAAACUGGUAAAUGUGAUAACAGCUGCAGGGGUAGUUCGGAUUAGGUUGGUUGCACAACCACGGUAAAAGCCAGUGAUGCCUUCUUGAUGAAAGACUUUCUUAAUGCAGUCAACUACACCAGAGUACCGUUUUUCAGAAUGGCGCCCCUGCUCUUGAAGCCUUGAACGUACAACCUCAUGUGGAUAUGUCAAUGUAGAAGCAAAUAUUUUGGAGACUGAUGAUGCAACGGCAACAUCAGGGGCCCCAAGUUUAUCCGUUGAAGUGUUAGCUCGCUUGGCCAAGUAAAUCUUAAUUUUCUCAUAAGUCGGAAAUUGGAUAGCAACAUGACUAACACCAGCCAAAGCAGGCACCAGACCGCUGUACAAUCCACGAAUACCCUCUUCAUAUGCUAUUCUCCUUAAAGCAGAUAAUGUACCCCUGUAAGGCUCAAAGCCUGUCCUCAUUCCUUGAGUCUGAAGACGUGUCUUCACAACCCAGAGAGGAUUUGUUGCAAUUGUGGUUGCAGCUCCGGCACCAGAAGCAGCUAACAUGUUUGCACCUAUCGUGAGUUGAUGGCUUCCAUCAUCAGAGCCAAGAAAUCUUUUCAGCUGAUCAUAUAUAGUAAAAUAUACCGCCCAGUUUGGAAGUAAUGCUAGCACUGUUGGGGAAAGCCCUCUGUACAUUCCACGCAACCCCUCUUUUUGAAAUAUAUGCUCCAAAUUCCCAACUAUAAGACUACCUCUAACAUUAGCAUUUCCUAGCUUCGGCAGCCCAUGAACCUGCAGCCUAGUCUUAAUAACAUCUAAAGGGCACACAAAAGUCGCAGCAAUUACUCCAGCAGCGGCACCAGCACCAGCAUUACAAAG